GGUCGGUUAGCUCAGUUGGUUAGAGCGUCGUACUAAUAUUAUAUGCAACUCAUGAGUGUAUAACAUUGGUCCAUGCGAAGGUCAUGGGUUCGACCCCCAUACUGACCA
Molecule: non-coding RNA, 108 nt
Organism: Xylariaceae sp. FL0594
Lineage: Eukaryota; Fungi; Ascomycota; Sordariomycetes; Xylariales; Xylariaceae
Source: the annotation of a GenBank genome assembly